UCAAAAAUCUUUUGUUGUAUCUAUAGCAUGGCUUUCUAAAGUUCCUAGUUCCAAUCCUAAUCCAACAAGGUAGGCAUGGUCCUUGCAACCCAGAUGUCCCAUUAAAGUCCUUUGAGCAUUGUAAGUCCAUAAGAGAGAUAUGGCAGUUAGGCUCGAGAAAGUUUGGGGAAUAUGUAGGGGAGUUUGGUAUCAGAGCCAGACCUUUGUUGUGAUUAAGGGAGAAAACAUAUUUCAUCCUUUCAAAAGCCAAAGCAAUUUCAUGAAUAUCAUCCAUGAAUACCAAGCCAAUAUGGAGUGGUUGCACCUAUUUGACAACUAUGAUGCAUGGUAUAGAUGUCAAUUGGACAAAUCAAACAAGCUAUAUUCUUGUCUCUUGAUAAUCUCUACAACAAGAGAAAGGUUGUUCGAGAAUAUUUCAUAAGGUCAUAAAGGUCAAUAUGAAAAUCUUGAAAUCUUUGUUCCCAUUUUUCAGAUGGGAUGUCAUCAAUAAUAAAGAUUUGAACUCCUUGGGGAAAACCUUGGGGAAAAGACAAAAUGUGUUGUACACAUUUUGCGAAUAUAACAGUUUGCGAACAUAACUACACCAAAUCUCUUUUUGUGGACAA
Long non-coding RNA from Coffea eugenioides, 605 nucleotides. RefSeq lists it as uncharacterized. The record is from RefSeq and is a predicted model, not a curated record. The transcript is spliced from 2 exons. Lineage: Eukaryota; Viridiplantae; Streptophyta; Magnoliopsida; Gentianales; Rubiaceae.